This is a ribosomal RNA of 546 nucleotides. The stretch from base 174 to 327 matches the Rfam family "5.8S ribosomal RNA".
GGAGUUCGCUCAUCACCCUUUGUGACAUACCUUAACUGUUGCUUCGGCGGGUAGGCGUCCCCUAAAAAGGACGUCUCCCGGCCCUCUCCCGUCCGCGGGUGGGGCGCCCGCCGGAGGAUAACCAAACUCUGAUUUAACGACGUUUCUUCUGAGUGACACAAGCAAAUAAUCAAAACUUUUAACAACGGAUCUCUUGGUUCUGGCAUCGAUGAAGAACGCAGCGAAAUGCGAUAAGUAAUGUGAAUUGCAGAAUUCAGUGAAUCAUCGAAUCUUUGAACGCACAUUGCGCCCGCCAGCAUUCUGGCGGGCAUGCCUGUUCGAGCGUCAUUUCAACCCUCAAGCUCUGCUUGGUGUUGGGGCUCUACGGUUGACGUAGGCCCUUAAAGGUAGUGGCGGACCCUCUCGGAGCCUCCUUUGCGUAGUAACAUUUCGUCUCGCAUUGGGAUUCGGAGGGACUCUAGCCGUAAAACCCCCAAUUUUACUAAGGUUGACCUCGGAUCAGGUAGGAAUACCCGCUGAACUUAAGCAUAUCAAUAGCCCGGGAGG